ACCUGGAAUGGGCGCAAGCCUGACCGCAACGCCGCGCUGUGGGAAGAAGGUCUUCGGAUUGUAAACCACUUUUCAACGGGGACGAUGAUAACGGGACCCGUCCAAAAAACCACGGCUAACUUCGCGCCUCCCCCGCGGUAAUACAAAGGGGGCUAGCGUUGCUCGUAAUGACUGGUUGUAAAGGGUGCGCUCCGGGUGGAUUAUUCCGGCGUGAAAUUCCUGGGCUCGCCUGGGGACUGCGUUUGAUACUGUUUGGCUAACUAAUGGAAGAGGCUCGUGGAAUUCCCAUUGUGGAGGUGAAAUUCAUAGAUCUUGGGAAGAACACCACUGGCGAAGGCAACGAGCUGGUCCAUUACUGACCCUGAGGCACGAAA
RNAcentral lists this ribosomal RNA (374 nucleotides) under uncultured bacterium. RNAcentral's name for it is "bacterial SSU rRNA". It matches the Rfam family "Bacterial small subunit ribosomal RNA", at positions 362 to 758 of the family's 1533-position model. The record is from RNAcentral.